Molecule: ribosomal RNA, 253 nt
Filed under: uncultured bacterium
Lineage: Bacteria
Description: partial 16S ribosomal RNA
Rfam family: Bacterial small subunit ribosomal RNA
Source: RNAcentral
UACGUAGGGGGCUAGCGUUGUUCGGAAUUACUGGGCGUAAAGGGCGCGUAGGCGGUGUGUCAAGUCAGGCGUGAAAGCCCCGGGCUCAACCUGGGAACCGCGCUUGAGACUGGCACGCUCGAGUUCGGGAGAGGAUGGUGGAAUUCCCAGUGUAGAGGUGAAAUUCGUAGAUAUUGGGAAGAACACCGAUGGCGAAGGCAGCCAUCUGGACCGACACUGACGCUGAGGCGCGAAAGCGUGGGGAGCAAACAGG